This is a non-coding RNA of Marasmius oreades (fairy-ring Marasmius), 92 nucleotides long. The record is from the annotation of a RefSeq genome assembly. NCBI's taxonomy places the organism in Eukaryota, Fungi, Basidiomycota, Agaricomycetes, Agaricales, Marasmiaceae.
GUCACUUUGCCGGAGUGGUUAACGGGAUCGCCUGCUAUGAAGCAUACAGCGGUUGCUCUUUGAGCGCGUGUGUUCGAAUCGCACAGGUGACG